UGGGGAAUUUUGGACAAUGGGGGAAACCCUGAUCCAGCCAUCCCGCGUGUGCGAUGAAGGCCUUCGGGUUGUAAAGCACUUUUGGCAGGAAAGAAACGUCGCGGGUUAAUACCCCGCGAAACUGACGGUACCUGCAGAAUAAGCACCGGCUAACUACGUGCCAGCAGCCGCGGUAAUACGUAGGGUGCAAGCGUUAAUCGGAAUUACUGGGCGUAAAGCGUGCGCAGGCGGUUCGGAAAGAAAGAUGUGAAAUCCCAGAGCUUAACUUUGGAACUGCAUUUUUAACUACCGGGCUAGAGUGUGUCAGAGGGAGGUGGAAUUCCGCGUGUAGCAGUGAAAUGCGUAGAUAUGCGGAGGAACACCGAUGGCGAAGGCAGCCUCCUGGGAUAACACUGACGCUCAUGCACGAAAGCGUGGGGAGCAAGCAGGAUUAGAUACCCUGGUAGUCCACGCCCUAAACGAUGUCAACUAGCUGUUGGGGCCUUCGGGCCUUGGUAGGCGCAGCUAACGCGUGAAGUUGACCGCCUGGGGAGUACGGUC
RNAcentral lists this ribosomal RNA (540 nucleotides) under uncultured bacterium. RNAcentral's name for it is "partial 16S ribosomal RNA". It matches the Rfam family "Bacterial small subunit ribosomal RNA", at positions 355 to 887 of the family's 1533-position model. The record is from RNAcentral.